AGUGAACGCUGGCGGUAGACCUAACACAUGCAAGUCGAACGGCAGCACAGUAAGAGCUUGCUCUUACGGGUGGCGAGUGGCGGACGGGUGAGGAAUACAUCGGAAUCUACUUUUUCGUGGGGGAUAACGUAGGGAAACUUACGCUAAUGCCGCAUACGACCUACGGGUGAAAGCAGGGGAUCUUCGGACCUUGCGCGAUUGAAUGAGCCGAUGUCGGAUUAGCUAGUUGGCGGGGUAAAGGCCCACCAAGGCGACGAUCCGUAGCUGGUCUGAGAGGAUGAUCAGCCACACUGGAACUGAGACACGGUCCAGACUCCUACGGGAGGCAGCAGUGGGGAAUAUUGGACAAUGGGCGCAAGCCUGAUCCAGCCAUACCGCGUGGGUGAAGAAGGCCUUCGGGUUGUAAAGCCCUUUUGUUGGGAAAGAAAAGCAGCAGGUUAAUACCCCGCUGUUCUGACGGUACCCAAAGAAUAAGCACCGGCUAACUUCGU
RNAcentral lists this ribosomal RNA (491 nucleotides) under uncultured bacterium. RNAcentral's name for it is "partial 16S ribosomal RNA". It matches the Rfam family "Bacterial small subunit ribosomal RNA", at positions 29 to 506 of the family's 1533-position model. The record is from RNAcentral.